This 584-nucleotide ribosomal RNA is filed under the name uncultured bacterium. RNAcentral describes it as "partial 16S ribosomal RNA". It matches the Rfam family "Bacterial small subunit ribosomal RNA", at positions 355 to 1375 of the family's 1533-position model. The record is from RNAcentral.
UGGGGAAUUUUGGACAAUGGGCGAAAGCCUGAUCCAGCAAUGCCGCGUGUGUGAAGAAGGCCUUCGGGUUGUAAAGCACUUUUGUCCGGAAAGAAAUCCUUGGCUCUAAUACAGUCGGGGGAUGACGGUACCGGAAGAAUAAGCACCGGCUAACUACGUGCCAGCAGCCGCGGUAAUACGUAGGGUGCAAGCGUUAAUCGGAAUUACUGGGCGUAAAGCGUGCGCAGGCGGUUUGCUAAGACCAAUGUGAAAUCCCCGGGCUCAACCUGGGAACUGCAUUGGUGACUGGCAGGCUAGAGUAUGGCAGAGGGGGGUAGAAUUCCACGUGUAGCAGUGAAAUGCGUAGAGAUGUGGAGGAAUACCGAUGGCGAAGGCAGCCCCCUGGGCCAAUACUGACGCUCAUGCACGAAAGCGUGGGGAGCAAACAGGAUUAGAUACCCUGGUAGUCCACGCCCUAAACGAUGUCAACUAGUUGUUGGGGAUUCAUUCCUUAGUAACGUAGCUAACGCGUGAAGUUGACCGCCUGGGGAGUACGGUCGCAAGAUUAAAACUUAAAGGAAUUGACGGGGUCAUAGCUGUUUCCU